This 739-nucleotide ribosomal RNA is filed under the name uncultured Arthrobacter sp. RNAcentral describes it as "bacterial SSU rRNA". It matches the Rfam family "Bacterial small subunit ribosomal RNA", at positions 54 to 811 of the family's 1533-position model. The record is from RNAcentral. Lineage: Bacteria; Bacillati; Actinomycetota; Actinomycetes; Micrococcales; Micrococcaceae.
CAUGCAGUCGACGAUGAACCUCACUUGUGGGGGGAUUAGUGGCGAACGGGUGAGUAACACGUGAGUAACCUGCCCUUGACUCUGGGAUAAGCCUGGGAAACUGGGUCUAAUACCGGAUAUGACUCCUCAUCGCAUGGUGGGGGGUGGAAAGCUUUUGUGGUUUUGGAUGGACUCGCGGCCUAUCAGCUUGUUGGUGAGGUAAUGGCUCACCAAGGCGACGACGGGUAGCCGGCCUGAGAGGGUGACCGGCCACACUGGGACUGAGACACGGCCCAGACUCCUACGGGAGGCAGCAGUGGGGAAUAUUGCACAAUGGGCGAAAGCCUGAUGCAGCGACGCCGCGUGAGGGAUGACGGCCUUCGGGUUGUAAACCUCUUUCAGUAGGGAAGAAGCGAAAGUGACGGUACCUGCAGAAGAAGCGCCGGCUAACUACGUGCCAGCAGCCGCGGUAAUACGUAGGGCGCAAGCGUUAUCCGGAAUUAUUGGGCGUAAAGAGCUCGUAGGCGGUUUGUCGCGUCUGCCGUGAAAGUCCGGGGCUCAACUCCGGAUCUGCGGUGGGUACGGGCAGACUUGAGUGAUGUAAUGGGAAACUGGAAUUCCUGGUGUAGCGGUGAAAUGCGCAGAUAUCAGGAGGAACACCGAUGGCGAAGGCAGGUCUCUGGGCAUACUGACGCUGAGGAGCGAAAGCAUGGGGAGCGAACAGGAUUAGAUACCCUGGUAGUCCAUGCCGUUAACGUUG